UGGGGAAUUUUGGACAAUGGGCGCAAGCCUGAUCCAGCAAUGCCGCGUGAGUGAAGAAGGCCUUCGGGUUGUAAGGCUCUUUUGUCAGGGAAGAAAAGGCGGGGGCUAAUAUCCUCUGCCGAUGACGGUACCUGAAGAAUAAGCACCGGCUAACUACGUGCCAGCAGCCGCGGUAAUACGUAGGGUGCAAGCGUUAAUCGGAAUUACUGGGCGUAAAGCGUGCGCAGGCGGUUGUGCAAGACAGAUGUGAAAUCCCCGGGCUCAACCUGGGAAUUGCAUUUGUGACUGCACGGCUAGAGUGUGUCAGAGGGGGGUAGAAUUCCACGUGUAGCAGUGAAAUGCGUAGAGAUGUGGAGGAAUACCGAUGGCGAAGGCAGCCCCCUGGGAUAACACUGACGCUCAUGCACGAAAGCGUGGGGAGCAAACAGGAUUAGAUACCCUGGUAGUCCACGCCCUAAACGAUGUCUACUAGUUGUCGGGUCUUAAUUGACUUGGUAACGCAGCUAACGCGUGAAGUAGACCGCCUGGGGAGUACGGUCGCAAGAUUAA
RNAcentral lists this ribosomal RNA (549 nucleotides) under uncultured Oxalobacteraceae bacterium. Its description in RNAcentral is "bacterial SSU rRNA". It matches the Rfam family "Bacterial small subunit ribosomal RNA", at positions 355 to 897 of the family's 1533-position model. Lineage: Bacteria; Pseudomonadati; Pseudomonadota; Betaproteobacteria; Burkholderiales; Oxalobacteraceae. The record is from RNAcentral.